UGGGGAAUUUUCCGCAAUGGGCGAAAGCCUGACGGAGCAACGCCGCGUGAGGGAGGAAGGCCCUUGGGUUGUAAACCUCUUUUAAUAGGGAAGAAGCUCUGACGGUACCUAUUGAAUAAGCCUCGGCUAACUCCGUGCCAGCAGCCGCGGUAAGACGGAGGAGGCAAGCGUUAUCCGGAAUUAUUGGGCGUAAAGCGUCCGUAGGUGGCAAUUCAAGUCUGCUUUUAAAGCGUGCAGCUCAACUGCAUAGAGGGAGUAGAAACUGAAUAGCUAGAGUGCGGUAGGGGCAGAGGGAAUUCCCAGUGUAGCGGUGAAAUGCGUAGAUAUUGGGAAGAACACCAGUGGCGAAAGCGCUCUGCUGGGCCUGCACUGACACUGAUGGACGAAAGCUAGGGGAGCGAAAGGGAUUAGAUACCCCCGUAGUCC
This 426-nucleotide ribosomal RNA is filed under the name uncultured prokaryote. RNAcentral describes it as "bacterial SSU rRNA". It matches the Rfam family "Bacterial small subunit ribosomal RNA", at positions 355 to 796 of the family's 1533-position model. The record is from RNAcentral.